AGAGUAAGCAUUUGCAAAGAAUUCUUCAUGUUCACUCACAGUUGCUAGGUGAAUUAAGUGGAGAAAAGACCGUUUUUUUUUAACAAAAGACCAGUCAGUCUAUUGGGUAGACACAAAACUACAUUAGGAUUAUCGAAUUCAGAUAAUGUAAAGAUAAGCUUUGUGACAGACUAACUUCUUCAAUCACCAUGAAGACAGCUCUGCUUCCAGAGACCUGUGACUAACCAAGCAUCAAGCCAGAAAAUAAAAAAGUUUUAUAUUUUAAGGACUGUGGCCGACUGUCACCAUUUGAUGUCACAACAAAGAAAUAAACAGUUCUAUCACCAAUCAGAGGUCACAUGACAAAGUGAAAGGUAGUGGUGUCAGUCAGUCCAUGUCACUGAAGACUCAUCCAUCCUAGAGGCAUGUCACAAACAGCUUCAUAUGUCGUUGAAGGCAGGAGUUGAUCACACAGAUGUCCAGAGGAGUUAGGAAUGAACUCAACUUGGACCCACUGUGGAAGGAGAAGAAUAGAACAUUUUUCUCAUUAAUUAAGAACUGAAAUUUCUUAACACCAACUUUGAUUUGAUAAAGAACUGUGAAUGCUUAUUAUACAUCAUGUUUCUUGGAUAGGUAAGAUUACUUUAUCUCAUUGUAGGGACCAACACUGCUCCACUCUUGUCAAAAUUGCAGCACCCCUAUUUUUCAUUUUGGAAUGGUCGCACUACUCAGUCAUGAACCUGCACGAGUCAUGACCCAAGUGUGGUCAUUCUUGAAUAAGACCACACUGAGAGGACAUCAACAUCAUCUCUGUCCAUUGCAGGUAUGCUGGAGAUUGUUCAUUUUAUUCUGAUACAUUUUCAUUCGCACGAGUUUGGAUUUCUUAUAUAUCAUUGAACUAGAGUGGGAUCAAAUGGAAUUAUUAGUCACUGGAAAAGCUUCCGAUCUAGAAAGAUGAAUUGUUUUCAGAUUUAGUUUGAUGGUUGUGAUUGAGAAUAUUUCUGAGAAGUGAAGUUAGGAGCAGAGUAACAAGUGAUACAUGUGUAUUAUUGUUUUUAUUAAGCCAAGUAUUUCUUUUAUUAGUUUAUUACUUAGUAGAUAUCAUGUUAAUCAUGAGUCCAACUUUAUUUAGCUUUCCACUCUUUAAGCGCCUUUAAUGAAUUGUGCACAGGAUGACUUGUCUGAAGUAUUGAACUUGACCUUUCAAAGUUUGGAAUAAGUUUAGUACCGUUUCAGACUUAGUGCUAUUCUGUUAAUACUUCAGGGCUGAGUUGCUAUGUUCAAAGUUCUUGCUUCAUCUGAAUGGGAAAUAGGACAGCAGUCCAUGAAGUGAAUGUAAUUGACAGUUGUUAAUUGGUCUGAUUGGGGAAAAUGAAUUUAAUUUCAUUUGUUCAAUGUGUACGCCACAGAUUGCAUUCUUGCAGAAUUUGUGUAUAACAUAAAACUCAGGUGGCAGUGGGACCAUGGAGGAAGGAGGGGACCAAGGAGGUCCAGUAUGUGUAUACAUGGAGACACUGUGUGAACACACAGUUAUAUAAUGAGUUAGUGUUUCAGUUUGGGAGUUGGUUCACACAGCCCAGCCUACCACAUGUGGAGCAGAGGGCCUAGUGGCCAAGGGUUGAAUUAUGAGGGCUUGACUGAGCUCUGUUUUAGUGUUCUUGGCUAAGUGCAGCAGAAACCAGUGGGGACAAGAACACCCUUUUUUCCUUGUGAAUAUUUAACGAAGCCCGGCUUUAAGAAGUUUUGGCAUGGUUUUCAUUCAGUCAUAGAGCAAGAAACUUUGUAAACCUUACUCUGUUAUUUUAUAAAACCAUAGAGAAAAGACAGAGAUAAACUGUAUUGAUAUUAUAUUACAUGUCAUGGCAAGUUGAUUCUUGAAUAAGACCACACCGAGAGGACAUCAAUAUCAUCUCUCUCCAUUGCAGGUGUAACAUCAUACUUAUUUAAAAGUUAGAGCUGAUUUCUCAUUAAUGAUUUAUCAAACAGAUUUAAUAUACGUGCAAAGUAUACAAGGCAUGAUCUUUGUGAAAGAAUGGCGUAUCGCCCAGUGGUAUGUGGUAUGCUUAUGUGAACACUGCUGUGGCUACCCAUGAAAAGAUGUGAGCGGCACACAGAGAUCUUAAUGACAACCAGUGUUACCUGUGUAUGACAUAACAUAUAGAAUGGCAGUAAUGUUUUUGACUUGUUAAAUUGUUCCUCUGUGCUUGAGAGGUAAAGAGAGGGACAUAAAUCUUGUGUUUCCUUA
RNAcentral lists this long non-coding RNA (2224 nucleotides) under Acanthaster planci (crown-of-thorns starfish). RNAcentral's name for it is "uncharacterized LOC110990660". Lineage: Eukaryota; Metazoa; Echinodermata; Asteroidea; Valvatida; Acanthasteridae. The record is from RNAcentral.